This is a non-coding RNA of Monodelphis domestica (gray short-tailed opossum), 9942 nucleotides long. Lineage: Eukaryota; Metazoa; Chordata; Mammalia; Didelphimorphia; Didelphidae. The record is from RefSeq and is a predicted model, not a curated record.
UGGAAGUCCUUUCACCCUCUUAUAGACUGGUACAGCCCCAAUCCCAUGCACCUUCAAUGCUGCGCCCACUUUACAGCUCCUCAGCUCCUCUGAUAAAGAUUCUUAUGAUCUUUUGGUGUGAUCCUUGUCGGUGUAUGUUGGGGAAAGUGAGUAAGCUAUGUUUAGCUGGCCGCCAUGCUUACCUGGAAGUUGUUGGAGUCUAUUUUUUAAUCCACUCCACUAUCCUCUUCUGUUUUCUGGGCAAGUUCAUCCCAUUCACAUUCAUAGUUAUGAUUAUUAAUUGUGUAUUCCCCUCCAUCUUAUUUUUCCUUUUUGAUCCUGCUCUUUUUCUCUUUCAUUCUGUCCCUCUUCACAUGUGUUUUGCUUUUAAUCACCACUUCCUACUUUCCUCUCCCUUCUAUUACCCAUCUCCCCUUGCCUUAUUCCCCUCCUGCUUAUAUAAGGUAGGAGUCUCUACCCAAAGGAAUACAGUUUUUAUUUUCCCUCUGGGCCAAUUAUGAUAAGAGUAAGGUUUAAGCAUCACCUGUCACCACCCUCAACCUCCCCUCCACUGUAAUAGGAUUUUUUUGUGCUGCUUUAGGUGAGAUAAUUCAUUCUCUUCUACCUCUCCCUUUAACUUUUUUUUUAACAUAUCAUGUAAUCCUAAUCAAUUUACUCCUGUAUCCACUGUCUGUGUAUAUACUCUUUCUAACUGCUCUAAUAAUGAUAACAAUUUUAUCAUCUUUAUCACCUCACUCUCAGAGCUAGAUAAGAUAAAUUAUCAUCUUUCCAUGUAGGAAUAUAAACAGUUUGACCUUUUGGAAUCCUUUAAAUUUUCUCUUUCUUAUUUAACUUUUUAUGCUCCUCUUGAGUUUUGUAUCUGAACAUCAAAUUUUCUGUUUAGGCCUGGUCUUUUCAUUAGGAAUGCUUGGAAAAUUGUAAAUUUUGUUAAAUGACCAUUUUUCCUCCCUCAUAGAAUAUACUUGGUUUUGCUGGAUAGGUGAUUCUGGGUUGUAAACCUAGAUCUUUUGCCUUCUGAUAUAUCAUAUUUCAAGUCUUCUAGACCUUUAAUGUUAAGGCUGCUAAGUUCUGUGUCAUACUGACUGUAGCUCCAUGGCAUUUGGAUUGUUUCUUUCUGGCUGUUUGCAGUAUUUUCUCCUUGGCCUGGUAAUUCUUGAAUUUGGCUGUAAUAUUCCUAGGAGUUGUCAUCUGGGGAUUUAUUUCAGGAGGUAAUUGGGUUUUAGAUUUCUAUUUUACUCUCCUAUUUAAGAAAAUCAGGGCAGUUUCCUUUGAUAAUUUCUUUUAAUAUGAUGUCAAGGAUUUUUUUUUUUUUGAUCAUGGCUUUCAGGUAGUCUAAUGAUUCUUAGAUUGUCCCUCAUGGAUCUAUUCUCCAACUCAGUUAUUUUUCCAAUGAGAAUAGUAUACAUUAUUUCAUUCUUUUGAUUUUGUUUUAUUGUUUCUUUAUGUCUUAUGAAGUCAUUAUCUUCUACUUGCCUAAUUCUAAUUUUUAAGGAAUUAUUUUUUCCUGUGAGCUUUUUUGAACCUUCUUUUCCAUUUGGCCAAUUCUGCUUUUUAAGGUGUUAUUUUUUUCUUGUAUUGCUUUCAUGUCAACUCUCCAUUUUCUCUCUGCCUCUUUUAUUUGAUUUUUGAAAUCAUUUUUGAGGUCUUCCAGAGUCGGAGGCCAAUUUAUGUUUUUCUUUUUAUGUAGCUUCUUUGAUCUUACCAUCCUUUCCUGAGUCUAUGCUUUGUUUUGCUUUUUCUCCAAAAUAAUUUUCUAUGCUUAGGGUUUUUUUUUUUUAUGUUUGCUCAUUUUCUCAGCCUUUUUCUCAAUUUUUAUUUUUAUCUUAAAGAAUGGGCUCUAUUCUCAGGAUAGAGGGGGUAUAUUCUUAAACUUCAGUUUUUCCUUGCUUCUACCCUCAUUUCUAGUUCUGGGUUUCUGUAAGUUUCAGUUCUUCUAAGGUGGUAUGAUAGCCUGUGGACUGGGAGCUCUAAAAGCCACCUCCCACUGUUGAUUCCAUCUUCCCCAGGGAUUGCUGAUGGCUUGCAGGGCUCAGAGCACUGUGAGCUACCUUGUGCUGGGGCUCCGAGUUUCACCUCAGGCUUGGGCAGGGGCUCUGGGCCUCACUUUGUGCUUACUCACCAAGUACAUUGUGGAACGAUGGCCUUGUGCUGGGGUUCAGGUCCUCACUGCAAGCUUGGGCAGGGGCUCUGGGCCCUCCAUUGGAUUUUCACCAGCUAAGCACACUGUGGACUGCAUUAUGCUAGGGCUUAUGGCCUCAUUAUAGGCUUGGACUAGGGCUUAGAAUUUCAAGGGAUAGGCAUAGGGUGCUCUGCUGUUGUUUUGGGUGGGGUCUCAGGGUCUUGAAGUUGGCUUGAGCUAAGGUUCAGAACCUGGAGCAGCAGGCAGGGGUGGAGUGGCUUAUUGUUAGCUUGAAUGGUACUCCUUGGUGCUGCCUUGCUUGUGGGGUGUUCUUACCUCUCCUUACAGUGAAACCCAUGGGCCCUCUCUGCCUACCUUCCAGGUUGUUUUCUCCAGGAAAAUUCCCUUACUCUUUCCCCUUAUUUGUUCUGUCAUUCCAGUAUUCAUUUCAUAAGGUUGGCUAGAGAAGAUUCUCAGAGAGGCUCAAGUUUUCCUUCUUUCUACUCUGCCUCUAAAAUGUUCCAGUUAGAACUGGAUACUGGAGUGGUUUUCCAUUUCCUCUCCAGCUUAUUUUACAGGUGAGGAAACUGAGGCUAAUUGGGUUAAGUGAUUUACACAACUAGUAAGUGUCUGAGACAAGAUUUGGAUUUAGGAAGAUGAUUCUUCCUGACUCUACCCACUGAGCUGCCCCUAAAAAUAAUGCUUGCUAAAUGUGCUUGUUGUUCAGUUGUAUCCAAUUCCCUUUUAGGUUUUCCUCAGCAAAGAUGCUGUAGUGGUGGCCAUUUCCUUCUCCAGCUCAUUUUACAGCAGUAAGUGCCGGAGGCUGGAUUUGAACUCAGGUCUUCUGGCUCCAGGCCUCUGUCUACUGUGCCACCUAGCCACCACUUAAAUACCACAAAGUUAAAAUUCCUCACAUUGGUGAGUCACAAACUCUUGCUCAGCUAGAAUCAGGCAGGGAGUCUGUGCACAUGCUCUGUUCAGUCCCUUUUAUUCAUUUAAAGAGCACCAGGAAAGAUUUAGGUUAGACAACUGAGAAAACAGGACGGGGAAGUAUUAGAACAGUUUCUAGAGAAAAUGCCAGGCCACCCCACUGAAUGAAGUCAGGGAAAUCCUAUCUGGAAGCAGAACAGAGACGCUCAUCAUCUCUUGGGGGUUCUUCGGUAUACAGGAGAUGGGGCCCUCAUUCUUGUCCAAAUGCAAUUCAUUCCAGCCUUCCUUAUUGUGGAUCUCAUUUGCUGAUGUGUGGUUUGUUAUUCCAAGGCCUCUGACUUCAGAGUUAGCUUUUUUGCUUCAAAGCCUGGCUGAAGCCUAGCAGGAGAGGAGGCUUUGUUCUAUUGAUCUUUAUUUUUUUAAGCGAGAAAAAUAUUCCCGUCUUUUGCUUUUAUAUCAUCUCCGUUUCUCACUGCGCCCACCUCAGGGAACCAGGUCUUAUAAUCAAGAAUAAUAAGGGAAAGAAAGGGGUGAAAAAGCUCCCCCAAAUUAACCCCAAAGUCUGAGUUAUAUUUGACAUUCCUGCUUUCCUCUGCCAAGAGACAAUGGGAACCCUUCUUGUGCUUUUUCUUGGGGACAGGUUUGGCCGUUAACAUUCAGAUGUAGUUGUUUGCACUAUUGUAAUCAUUGAGUAUAUCGUUUUUCUGCUUUGGCUUACUUCCCUUUGGAUAAAUUCAUGUUAGUUUCCCCCUGAUGCUUUGCCUUCACUAUGCUCAUCCUUUGUUUAGCAAGACGUUUGAAGUUAAAGGCGGAAGAAAGGACAUUUCCAUAUAGACAACAGAAUACAGAAAGAUCAUAUAUGAAAUGAUGAAAUCUCCACUUCAGACCACUUCUUAAAAAUAUAUUUAUAUGUGUGCGUGUGUUUAUAUGUGUGAGUAUAUAUGUAUAUGUACACACACAAAAUUCUGCAAAUUACUUUCACAGAUAUUUUGCUGUUUCUCUGCUGUCUUCCAAACUUCUUUUCUUUUCUGCUUUAUGUUGUUAAAAUAUUUCAGUGGCCCAUUUCUUUAUUAUUAUUGUUGUUGCUAAUUCCACCCUCUCCCCAAUCUCCCCUUUUUCCCAAUUAAAAAACAAGAAAAGAAAGAGACAUCCUUGUAACAAAUUUAAUCCCACAAAGCAAAACUACGCAGGCACCACUGCUAAAAAUAGGUCUCUCUCUGUACCCUGCAUCCAUUACCUCUCUGAUAGGAAAGGAAGUAAAGUAUCUUCCUCGGUUCCCCUGGAGAUAGAGCUGGUCAUUCCUUUGAUCAGGGGUGUUUCAGAGUUGUUUUUCUUGCUUUAUUUUUUAACCCUUACGUUUUGACAGUAACAACUCCUAAGGCCAGGCAAAAAUGACUUGCCCAGGGUAACACUGCUAGGAAGUGGCUGAGGCAUAUUCUCGCCUCUUAAAUACUCAUUCUUCCCUGGGAGAGUAAGCUCAAAGCUAAACUGGCGGCUACAAAAUAGCCUUAAAACCAAGACGAGUCCCUCAUAGCGCUUAGCAGAGAGAUACAGGCCGUGCUAUCUCAGUCUCUGCUUCGGGGUCAGUUCACUGUUGGGCUGGUUAGUUAAGGGGACCUUGGGUGGUUCUCCUUCCAUUCUGCAGCCUUCACGGUCAGGCCCUGGGUUUUGGUGGGCUUUGUUUUUGGAUCUCGGGGCUCAGUUACCCAAGAUCAGGAAGGGGAGACAAGAGCCGAGGCCCCAGUGUCAGACGCGGGGGUCGGGGUCCCGGAGACGUGGCAGCCGCUGCUUUCUCCCCCGCCACAAGGCCCAGAACAUUUUUUCCUUACUCAGAAGCGGGGAGGGAAGGACGGUGAAACGUGGUCCUUCAGACACUGUCUGCCCACUCAAUUCUGGUUCAGGAUCCAAGGACCAGACUCGCAUUGCCAUAAGAGAAGCUGCGGGGAACAGUCGUAGGAUACGCUCCGAAGGGAGAGGGAAAAGGUCCCUCCACGUGAAACUCGGGACGCAGUUUCCUUCAGCUUCCAAAUGCACAGUCAGAUAUUGUCUACACGCGAAGGACUGAGCCGCUCCCUUUAAAGCGUGUUUCUGUAGUUUUUUUGGUCGUUGAUAGCCUUAGGCUUUGUGCCUCGCAAGAAUACCAAUUGCUUAAAAUAAAAGCAACAACAACAACAAGCUUGACUUUCUGCCUUAGGACCAAUUCUGAGAGAGAAGGGCAAGGCUAGGCCGCUGAGGUUAAGAGACUUGGCCAGGGGGACACAGCUAGGAAAUGUCUGAGGCCUCUGUCCACUGUGCUGCCCUCCGCAGAUGACUACUAGCAAUGGUGGCCUUCAUUCACAGCUCCGUCAUCUUUUUCUACAUCCAUGGCCUAUUGCUGUUUUCUGUCGUCUUUGCCCAUUUGUCGGGUGUGAGAGGGGCCCUCAGGGUUUGGGGUUUCAUGCUUAAAGCUAGGUUCAUUCGACACGGGCCAAGUGAAGGGUUGGCUUCCUUCCACCUCUCCUUCCAAUGCAGCUUUAUUUUCGUCUUACAUUGUUGUUACUUUCUUGUUAGGGUAGCAUCUCCACCCAGCGCUGGGCCAGCUGAACCGAGAGAUCCUUGCAGCAGGAGGGCAAGAAAAGGACUUCUGUUCUUCCAGAGUGUACUCUUCUUCAUUCAUCCAUGGAAGAACUAUUGGUUAUGCCAGAAUCAGAAGCCAAUUCAGGACAGAGGUGAGGAAAACUUGGCUGAACACGAGAGUUACCUCGAAGCGGGGUGGCCUUUAAGAGUGACGGUCCGUAUCCCUUCCUGCCUUGCCUCAGGAAGAAGCGGAACCAUCCUCGCCUGGAGAGGAGCCCAGAGCUCCCUUUGCUUUCUCAGUCCGUGGUUCCGGGGAAGUCUGGCAUAUCUCGUAGACCAAGAGGCCACGUUCCUUUCUAUAUACAGAAGGGCCUAUGAGGCAGGAAGAGUGACAAGUAAAAUGGAGAAGUAAUUUGUGUCACAGAUGGGGAGAAACAGGAAAAAGAGCCUUAGCCACUUGAUGGUGCUAUAACCCACAGAACCCACGGAUACGGCCUCUGGGAGCUGCCUUAGCCAGGCUCCCAGCAUCCAGCAGAGGCAGAGAAAGGUUGGAGAAGGGAGGAGUUCUCAUGACAGCCAGCUGUCACCACCAGUGAACAUACUACCAGGUGUCUUUCAAUAAAAAUAUCUUGAUGAAGGCUUGAAAGUGCUAAUAGAGUAGCUUCAACUGACACAGGCUUUCCAAUCAAAUCCAGAGAAAUGUCUCCUGAUCAAAUAGGAUCCUGGACAUAGAGUGCUUUAGAAAGGGUCCCUGAGUAGGGGGAGCACUGGCUGGCCUUUACACAUCAAAUGUAUAAAGAUUUGCUUCAUCCUGAAUCCCCCUUGGCUCCUGAGCCUCAUUGACUUAGGAAGCUCCCUGCCAAAGAAACAAGAUUAAAGAUUAAAGAAAGCCCCGCUGCCAAGUCUAUAAAACAAAAUCUCCUCUCAUCCACCUGUCUACCAGAGCUGCCAUGUCAAAGCAGACUCCUAAGUCUCUCCGGGAUCUGGGCAGGCAUACUCAGAAAAAUGAAAGUAGGAAGAAUUGUCUGGAACUGUCUGUGUUAUCUAAGACCAUUUCUCUGCAAACAUGCUCCUUUCCUUCACUCUUGGGUAAAUGUUUCUCCAAAAUAUGCUUCCAAACAACUUUAGCAAAGUUGCAGGAUACAAAAUAAAUCCACAUAAAUCAUCAGCAUUUCUAUAUAUCUCCAACACAUCUCAGCAGCAAGAAUUAGAAAGAGAAAUCCCAUUCAAAAUCACCCUAGAUAGAUGGACCAUUGAUCCACGAUUUUAUUUCUUAGUAGCAGAUUGUUUUGAUGAUUACUGCUUUAUGAUACAGUUUGAAAUCUGGUACUGCUCAGCCACCAUCCAUCACAUUUUUUCUUCAUUAAUCCUCUUGAUAUUCAUGACCUUUUGUUCUUCUGGAUGAAUUUUGUUUUUAUUAUUUUUUCUAGUUCUAGAAAAUAUUUUGGAAGUUUGAUUGAUUGAUUGCUUGGCACUGAAUAAAGUAAAUGGAUUUAGGGAAAAAAUGAAAUAAAAUAAAAUCACCCUAGACAAAAUAAAAUACUUAGGAAUCUAUCUGCAGAGACAAACAAAGGAACUAUAUGAACAUAACUAUAAAACAUUCUCCACACAAUUAACACUAGAUCUAAUCAACUGGAAAAACAUUAACUGCUCAUGGGUAGGACAAUAUAACAUAACAAAAAUGACAAUCCUACCCAAAUUAAUUUACUUAUUUAGUGCCAUACCUAUCAAACUACCAAGAAACUUUUUUACUGAAUUAGAAAAAAAACAUAACAAAGAUCAUUUGGAAGAACAAAAGAUCAAGGAUAUCCAGGGAAAUAAUGAAAAAAAAAUACAAAGGAAGGUGGCCUUGCAGUCCCAGAUCUCAAACUAUACUAUAAAGCAGCAGUCAUCAAAACAAUAUGGUACUGGCUAAGAGAUAGAGAGGAGGACCAGCAGAAUAGACUUGGGGUAAGUGACUUCAGCAAGACAGUCUGUGAUAAACCCAAAGAUCCCAACUUUUUGGGACAAAAAUUCACUAUUUGACAAAAACUGCUGGGAAAAUUGGAAAACAGUGUGGGUGAGAUUAGGUUUAGUUCAACACUUUACAACCUACACCAAGAUAAACUCAGAAUGGGUGAAUGACUUGAAUAUAAAGAAGGAAACUAUAAGCAAAUUAGGUGAACACAGAAUAGUAUACCUGUCAGAUCUUUGGGAAAGGAAAGAUUUCAAGACCAAGCAAGAGUUAGAAAAAAUUACAAAAUGUAAAAUAAAUAAUUUUGAUUACAUUAAAUUAAAAUGGUCUUGUACAUACAAAACCAAUGCAACCAAAAUUAGAAGGGAAGCAACAAAUUGGGGGAAAAUCUUUAUAACCAAAACCUCCAAUAAAAGUCUAAUUACUCAAAUAUAUAAGGAGCUAAAUCAAUUGUACAAAAAAUCAAGCCAUUCCCCAAUUGAUAAAUGGACAAGGGACAUGAAUAGGCAAUUUUGAGAUAAAGAAAUCUAAAGUAUUAAUAAGCACAUGAAGAAGUGUUCUAAAUCUCUUAUAAUCAGAGAGAUGCAAAUCAAAACAACUCUGAGGUAUCCCCUCACACCUAGCAGAUUGGCUAACAUGACAGCAACAAGCAAUGAGUGCUGGAGGGGAUGUGAUAAAGUUGGGACAUUAAUUCAUUGCUGGUGGAGUUGUAAAUUGAUCCAAACGUUCUGGAGGGCAAUUUGGAACUAUGCCCAAAGGGCGAUAAAAUACUGUCUGCCCUUUAAUCCAGCCAUAGCACUGCUGGGUUUGUACCCCAAAGAAAUAAUAAGGGAAAAGACUUGUACAAGAUAUUCAUAGCUGCACUCUUUGUGGUAGCAAAAAAAUUGGAAAAUGAGGGCAUGCCCUUUGAUUGAGGAAUGAACAUUAAUUUAAAUCUUACAUUGGGGAGCAGGUGAUGUCCCUCAUGCCUGGAUGGCAUUUCCUCUUUACCUCCCUGCUCUAUCCUCUUAGAAUCUUUAGCUUCCUUUAAGACCCAGCUGCUACUUAUUUCUCUUCCUGAUCUUUUCAUUUACUAAUGUUCUCUCCCUCCUCAAAUAGCCUUGAUUUGGACUUAUCCAAAUGUAGUUAAAAAUAUACAAUAGAAUGGAAACUUCUUGAGGGCAGAGACAUUUUUAAAAUCCCCAAUGCCUAGUUCAGUGAUUUGAAUAUAUUAAGUGCUUAAUAAAUAAUUUUUUACUUGAAAUCAUCACAUGAACUAGAGUGCAAGUUUUAAGACUCAAAGUGAAUAUUAACAGGUAGGUAGGGAGGCAGCUAUGUAGUUCAGUGGAUAGAGAACCAGUUCUAGAGAUGAGCUGCCACAGGAUCAAAAUCAGAUACUUCUUAGCAGUGUGACCCUGGGCAAGUCACUUAACAGCAAUGGUCUUGCCUAGCCCUUGCUAUUCUGCCUUGAAGCCAAUACUUAGUAUUGGUUCUACGGCAGAAGAUGAGAGUUUAAAAGUUAAAAAAUACACACAUAUGGGUCGUCAUUUUCUUAUUCCUUAUCCUAGCUUGGGGUGAGAGGAGUGUCUACGCUAAAUUUAUCAUAAAUGACUUUUAAAAUAUAGGUGCUUUUUGCCACAUAAGUAAGAUACCAUGUUCAUACUUUGUGUCAAACAAAAAAGCCCUCAUAACUCUGAAUACCAUGCUUCACUUGCCAAGUGCUUUUAACUUGUUCAAAGUUCUUUCACGUUUCUAAUGUUAGUUAUUUUAUAUUUAAAAAUUUACAUUUGAUCUGGCUGAACCUGCCCUUUGCCAGUUAUCCUCAUUUUGCAGAAGAAAAGGUACGUGGAAGGUAAUUCAUAGCCCACUGGACAAAAAUAUCUGUAGCAGCUCUUUUUGUGGUGGCUGAGAACUAGAAACUAAGGAAGUCCUAUCCAUUGGGGAAUGGUGUAGGAAUAUGAUGAAAUAGAAUUAAAAAAUGAUAAAAGAGAAAUCUGGGAAGAUUUGUACACAAGAAUUCAAAAUGAAGCUAGAAGGGCCAGGAGGACAGUUUAUACUGAAAGAGUACAUUGUCAAAUCAAGCAACUUCAAAAGACUUAAGAACGCUGAUCAACAGAAUGACCAACCGUUCUGGAGGCCCAAGAACGAAGAAAUGCUACCUGUAAAUGGACUCAGUAUGCAGAAUGAGACACAUUUUUGGUCAUGGCCAAUGCAGGGUUUUGGUUUUUUUUUCCUUUACCACAUACAUUUGUUAAAAGGGCUUUGUUUUCCAGAUCAAAUUGCUUGCCAGCUCCAGAAUUGGGGAGGAAAGGAAAAAAGAAGACAGUUUGGAUUUUAAAAUUCUGGAAAACUUAUGUGGAUGUUCGUUAUUACAUGUAAUAAUAAAAAAAUAGAAAUAGUAAAA